AAGCGGCCGUAGCUGGCUAAGUAAGUCCCUUGUUAAAUCCACCGAAUUAAUCGUUGGAUUGCGGGGGAUACUGCUUGGCUAGGGGACGAGAGAGGCAGACGGUAUUUCCGGGGUAGGGGUGAAAUCCUAUAAUCCCGGGAAGACCACCAGUGGCGAAGGCUGUCUGCUAGAACGCGCCCGACGGUGAGGGAUGAAAGCUGGGGGAGCGAACCGGAUUAGAUACCCGGGUAGUCCCAGCUGUAAACGAUGCAGGCUAGGUGUUUGGACGGCCACGUGCCGUUCUAGUGCCGCAGGGAAGCUGUUAAGCCUGCCGCCUGGGGAGUACGAUCGCAAGAUUGAAACUUAAAGGAAUUGGCGGGGGAGCACCACAAGGGGUGAAGCUUGCGGUUUAAUUGGAGUCAACGCCGGAAAUCUCACCGGGAGCGACAGCAGUGUGAAGGCCAGAUUAAAGGUCUUGCCAGACGAGCUGAGAGGAGGUGCAUGGCCGUCGCCAGUUCGUGCCGUGAGGUGUCCUGUUAAGUCAGGCAACGAUCGAGACCCGCAUCCUCUGUUGCAACCAGCUUUGGGCUGGGCACACUGAGGAGACCGCCACUGAUAAAGUGGAGGAAGGAGCGGGCCACGGC
Molecule: ribosomal RNA, 623 nt
Filed under: uncultured archaeon
Lineage: Archaea
Description: bacterial SSU rRNA
Rfam family: Archaeal small subunit ribosomal RNA
Source: RNAcentral